Molecule: ribosomal RNA, 229 nt
Filed under: uncultured bacterium
Lineage: Bacteria
Description: partial 16S ribosomal RNA
Rfam family: Bacterial small subunit ribosomal RNA
Source: RNAcentral
UGCGCAGGCGGGCGACUAAGUCAGAGGUGAAAUCCCACAGCUUAACUGUGGAACUGCCUUUGAUACUGGUUGUCUUGAGUUAUAGUGAAGUAGAUAGAAUAUGUAGUGUAGCGGUGAAAUGCUUAGAUAUUACAUAGAAUACCGAUUGCGAAGGCAGUCUACUAACUAUAUACUGACGCUAAUGGACGAAAGCGUGGGGAGCGAACAGGAUUAGAUACCCUGGUAGUCC